Neotoma lepida (desert woodrat) is the source of this 46-nucleotide regulatory RNA element. It matches the Rfam family "Histone 3' UTR stem-loop". Rfam says of the family: The mRNAs of metazoan histone genes lack a poly-A tail. 3' end processing occurs at a site between a highly conserved stem-loop (modelled by this family) and a purine rich region around 20 nts downstream (the histone downstream element, or HDE). The record is from Rfam. NCBI's taxonomy places the organism in Eukaryota, Metazoa, Chordata, Mammalia, Rodentia, Cricetidae.
ACAACGGCUCUUUUCAGAGCCACCCAUGUUGUCAUAGAGUGGUUGU